RNAcentral lists this ribosomal RNA (376 nucleotides) under Burkholderia plantarii. Its description in RNAcentral is "partial 16S ribosomal RNA". It matches the Rfam family "Bacterial small subunit ribosomal RNA", at positions 66 to 416 of the family's 1533-position model. Lineage: Bacteria; Pseudomonadati; Pseudomonadota; Betaproteobacteria; Burkholderiales; Burkholderiaceae. The record is from RNAcentral.
ACGGCAGCACGGRYUUCGGYCUGGUGKCGAGUGGGGAACGGGUSARUAAUACAUCGGAACAUGUCCUGUAGUGGGGGUASCCCGGCGAAAGAARAUUAAUACCMCAUACGCUCUAGGGAUAAGAGGGGGUCUCUUGGACCUCUCGCUAUAGGUUGGCGAAGGGGAAUWGUAGUGGGAGGAAAAGGCCUACCGAUGGCUGAUUAGCUAGUUGGUAGGGUAAAAGCCUACCAAGGCGACGAUCAGUAGCUGGUCUGAGAGGACGACCAGCCACACUGGGACUGAGACACGGCCCAGACUCCUACGGGAGGCAGCAGUGGGGAAUUUUGGACAAUGGGCGAAAGCCUGAUCCAGCAAUGCCGCGUGUGUGAAGAAGGCC